GGAAAAAGUCCCUGAGAUGAGAUAAUGAAGAAACCUUGAGAGGAACCAGACUCAAUGUGCAAUCAAGUCUAUUUGUAGCCAUCAGAAACCAAACCCACAGCCUGACUGAUGCAGUGUCUAUCAGUGAACGUUUACUCCACCCUACACAGACAUUUAACCUCCAUCUCUCCUACCUGCCUCCUGUUCUUCACACACAUGCUACAUCACACAGGAUUGAUGAACAAUGUGCUGAUAAACAAACAAACAACAAUGAGACGAAAAAUCAGCUGCAAAGCACUCAUCCUUUGUGCUCUCUUCAUAGCUCAGAGCACUGCUACAGAGUGCAACUCAACUGAAACCAAUGACACAUCUAGCAGCAUUAACUGGAUUGAAAAGAACCUUGGCAAUUUCUCCAAUUAUGCGUCUUUGGAAGAGCUGAAAAUUCUAAAUGCAAAUUUGUCUAGCGUUGCAGUGUUAGGCUUACUGUCCAGUGAGCAGAAGGCACAGUUCAUCUUGCAGCCGGAUUCAGGAGUGUUGGGAAAUGACUCUGUGUUUAGAGAGGUGUUUAGCAGUGUGAUCACAUCUUUAGAUCUGAAUCAACUUGGCGGCUUUUUCACAGCCUUCAAUCAGACUGCAAUACAAAUGAACUUGACCAGCAUUCCUCCAACAAUAUCAGACGCCAUUCUGAACAUGACGCUCUUGUAUCUGGUGCCUCACUUCCAAAGUUUCAGCCCAGAUGACUUUGCCCUGUGGUUCCAGACUUACCUUUCCUUCUUCCUUCCUGGGAUUGGUCCAAACACCCUGUCCAUCAUCCCCAUGAACAUCAGCUGUGACUCCUACAGAGAGAUAGUGAAAGGACUUGAUCAUGUGUACAGUGACCUCUCUGCAGCACAGUCCAACAUUGUCUUCAAUUACACACAAGACUAUCUCAAGUACCAGUCCAGCCAAGGCCUGAGCUGCUAUGACAGCGGAAGCUUCUACAUGUUCCUGAAAGGGCUGUUCCUCAGUUUUGGAUUCCCCGACCUGAAGGAUUUCCUGUCUCUGAUCCCACCUGACCGACAGGAAGAGCUUUUGGACUCCAUCUCUCCUGAAGAACUCAGCGAGUUUCUGAACAGGCCGAACACAGUCGUUAAUGGUUCAGAGCUCUGCACACUCCUCAACAGCUACAAUAGAACCGAUCAGUUCCUGGAGAUGGAGCCUGUUUUGUCCUCAGCUCUGGCCAGCCAAACGUUGGAGUGUGUGUGGCCUCGAGCUCUCAGUGCCUCAUCUCAGGCUGAUGUAGAACAGUGGUUUAAUGUCACCCUGGUUCACUACCUGCCCUACCUCAGUUCUCAGCUCAUCAGCGCUGCCGAACUCAGUGGCGCCUCCUGUCUGUCAUACAGGAAACUGGUGUCUGUCCUGGGGGACAACUACAACUUUUCCGCGACUGAUUUCACCCCGGCUGAUGUGUACAGCUCUAUGAAAGUGUAUCUGAACAGCAGCG
Molecule: long non-coding RNA, 1462 nt
Organism: Ictalurus punctatus (channel catfish)
Lineage: Eukaryota; Metazoa; Chordata; Actinopteri; Siluriformes; Ictaluridae
Source: Ensembl